GGACUACAGGGGUAUCUAAUCCCGUUCGCUCCCCCAGCUUUCGCGUCUCAGCGUCAGGGAUGGCCCAGGUGACCGCUUUCGCCACUGGCGUUCCUCCCGAUAUCUACGCAUUUCACCGCUACACCGGGAAUUCCAUCACCCUCUGCCACCCUCAAGCCCGCCAGUCUGACACGACGUCCUGCGGUUGAGCCGCAGGCUUUCACGCGCCACUUAACAGGCCACCUACACGCUCUUUACGCCCAGUAAAUCCGGACAACGCUCGCCCCCUACGUCUUACCGCGGCUGCUGGCAC
This 292-nucleotide ribosomal RNA is filed under the name uncultured bacterium. Its description in RNAcentral is "partial 16S ribosomal RNA". The record is from RNAcentral.